UACGAAGGGUGCAAGCGUUACUCGGAAUUACUGGGCGUAAAGCGUGCGCAGGCGGUUGUGCAAGACCGAUGUGAAAUCCCCGGGCUUAACCUGGGAAUGGCAUUGGUGACUGCACGGCUAGAGUGUGUCAGAGGGGGGUAGAAUUCCACGUGUAGCAGUGAAAUGCGUAGAUAUGUGGAGGAAUACCGAUGGCGAAGGCAGCCCCCUGGGAUAACACUGACGCUCAUGCACGAAAGCGUGGGGAGCAAACAGG
RNAcentral lists this ribosomal RNA (253 nucleotides) under uncultured bacterium. RNAcentral's name for it is "partial 16S ribosomal RNA". It matches the Rfam family "Bacterial small subunit ribosomal RNA", at positions 524 to 776 of the family's 1533-position model. The record is from RNAcentral.